RNAcentral lists this ribosomal RNA (301 nucleotides) under uncultured bacterium. RNAcentral's name for it is "partial 16S ribosomal RNA". It matches the Rfam family "Bacterial small subunit ribosomal RNA", at positions 509 to 807 of the family's 1533-position model. The record is from RNAcentral.
CAGUCGCCGCGGGAAAACGAAGGGGGCUAGCGUUGUUCGGAUUUACUGGGCGUAAAGGGUGCGUAGGCGGAUUGUUAAGUCAGGGGUGAAAUCCCGAGGCUCAACCUCGGAACUGCCUUUGAUACUGGCGAUCUUGAGUCCGGGAGAGGUGAGUGGGACUGCGAGUGUAGAGGUGAAAUUCGUAGAUAUUCGCAAGAACACCGGUGGCGAAGGCGACUUUCUGGACGAAAACUGACGCUGAGGCGCGAAAGCCAGGGGAGCGAACGGGAUUAGAUACCCGUGUAGUCCCUGUCUCUUAUAC